CCUACGGGAGGCAGCAGUGGGGAAUAUUGCACAAUGGGGGAAACUCUGAUGCAGCGACGCCGCGCGAGUGAAGAAGUAAUUCUUUAUGUAAAGCUCUAUCAGCAGGGAAGAAAAUGACGGUACCUGAGUAAGAAGCCCCGGCUAACUCGGUUCCAGCAGCCGCGGUAAUACGUAGGGGGCAAGAGUUAUCCGGAUUUACUGGGUGUAAUGGGAGCGUAGACGGCAGUGCAAGUCUGGAGUGAAAGGCGGGGGCUCAACCCCCGGACUGCUCUGGAAACUGUACGGCUGGAGAGCAGGAGAGGUAAGUGGAAUUCAUGGUGUAGCGGUGAAAUGCGUAGAUAUUAGGAGGAACACCAGUGGCGAAGGCGGCUUACUGGACUGUAACUGACGUUGAGGCUCGAAAGCGUGGGGAGCAAACAGGAUUAGAUACCCCUGUAGUC
RNAcentral lists this ribosomal RNA (440 nucleotides) under uncultured bacterium. RNAcentral describes it as "partial 16S ribosomal RNA". It matches the Rfam family "Bacterial small subunit ribosomal RNA", at positions 338 to 795 of the family's 1533-position model. The record is from RNAcentral.